Molecule: ribosomal RNA, 253 nt
Filed under: uncultured bacterium
Lineage: Bacteria
Description: partial 16S ribosomal RNA
Rfam family: Bacterial small subunit ribosomal RNA
Source: RNAcentral
GACGAACCGAGCGACCGUUGUUCGGAAUCACUGGGCUUAAAGGGCGCGUAGGCGGGUGCUCAAGUCCGUGGUGAAAUCCUCCGGCUCAACCGGAGAACUGCCUCGGAUACUGGGCGUCUCGAGUGUGGUAGGGGUAUGCGGAACUAUCGGUGGAGCGGUGAAAUGCGUUGAUAUCGAUAGGAACACCAGUGGCGAAGGCGAGUCUCUGGACAUUUCCUGACGCUGAGGCACGAAAGCCAGGGGAGCAAACGGG